Molecule: ribosomal RNA, 281 nt
Filed under: uncultured Staphylococcus sp.
Lineage: Bacteria; Bacillati; Bacillota; Bacilli; Caryophanales; Staphylococcaceae
Description: partial 16S ribosomal RNA
Rfam family: Bacterial small subunit ribosomal RNA
Source: RNAcentral
CUUCUUUGACGUUAGCGGCGGACGGGUGAGUAACACGUGGGUAACCUACCUAUAAGACUGGGAUAACUUCGGGAAACCGGAGCUAAUACCGGAUAAUAUUUCGAACCGCAUGGUUCGAUAGUGAAAGGUGGUUUUGCUAUCACUUAUAGAUGGACCCGCGCCGUAUUAGCUAGUUGGUAAGGUAACGGCUUACCAAGGCGACGAUACGUAGCCGACCUGAGAGGGUGAUCGGCCACACUGGAACUGAGACACGGUCCAGACUCCUACGGGAGGCAGCAGAU